RNAcentral lists this ribosomal RNA (253 nucleotides) under uncultured bacterium. RNAcentral's name for it is "partial 16S ribosomal RNA". It matches the Rfam family "Bacterial small subunit ribosomal RNA", at positions 524 to 776 of the family's 1533-position model. The record is from RNAcentral.
GACGAACCGUGCGAACGUUGUUCGGAAUCACUGGGCUUAAAGGGCGCGUAGGCGGACUGCCAAGUCAGGGGUGAAAGCCCACGGCUCAACCGUGGAAGUGCCUUUGAUACUGGCGGUCUCGAGGGAGGUAGGGGCGUGCGGAACUUCCGGUGGAGCGGUGAAAUGCGUAGAUAUCGGAAGGAACACCGGUGGCGAAAGCGGCGCGCUGGACCUCUUCUGACGCUGAGGCGCGAAAGCCAGGGGAGCGAACGGG